CUGGCGGGUGCGGCCGUCACCGCCGCUUCCCCGGGUCUGGAUGGGGUCGCUCGCGGCGGCAGCGGGGGCGGUGGCCCCAACGGGAAAUCCGGGAAGGCUGCGGGGUUGGCACCGGCCACAAGGACCUCAAGGUCUAGCUGUGCUAAUGACUCAUAGUUUAUCUCAACCAUGUAUAAAGAAUGCAGAAGACUCCAGAAGGUGGGGGAGCCACUAGAGGAUUCCAUCCAGGACACCACAUUUAAUUGUUAUGAUGUCUUGUGCUCCUCUUGGCUGUGAGAGUUUCUCAGAUUUUCCUUGUAUUUGAUGACCUUGACAGUCCUUAGGAGUACUGGUGAGGUAU
Molecule: long non-coding RNA, 340 nt
Filed under: Homo sapiens (human)
Lineage: Eukaryota; Metazoa; Chordata; Mammalia; Primates; Hominidae
Description: HSALNT0180288
Source: RNAcentral